RNAcentral lists this ribosomal RNA (352 nucleotides) under uncultured Desulfobulbus sp. Its description in RNAcentral is "bacterial SSU rRNA". It matches the Rfam family "Bacterial small subunit ribosomal RNA", at positions 1031 to 1382 of the family's 1533-position model. Lineage: Bacteria; Pseudomonadati; Thermodesulfobacteriota; Desulfobulbia; Desulfobulbales; Desulfobulbaceae. The record is from RNAcentral.
AGGACAGGUGCUGCAUGGCUGUCGUCAGCUCGUGUCGUGAGAUGUUGGGUUAAGUCCCGCCAACGAGCGCAACCCUUGCCUUUAGUUGCCAGCAGUUCGGCUGGGCACUCUAAAGGGACUGCCGGUGUUAAACCGGAGGAAGGUGGGGAUGACGUCAAGUCCUCAUGGCCUUUAUGACCAGGGCUACACACGUACUACAAUGGCCGAUACAAAGGGCAGCGACACUGCGAGGUGGAGCCAAUCCCGUAAAAUCGGUCUCAGUCCGGAUUGGAGUCUGCAACUCGACUCCAUGAAGUUGGAAUCGCUAGUAAUCGUGGAUCAGCAUGCCACGGUGAAUACGUUCCCGGGCCUU